RNAcentral lists this long non-coding RNA (1813 nucleotides) under Daphnia pulex (common water flea). Its description in RNAcentral is "uncharacterized LOC124208692, transcript variant X1". The record is from RNAcentral. Lineage: Eukaryota; Metazoa; Arthropoda; Branchiopoda; Diplostraca; Daphniidae.
AUACCACGCUGCUGCUGAUCUUCUAACGUGUUAAGACUCAAAGUUCCCAUUUGAAUUUUACAUUUUUGAAGCAAUUGUUUUAUUACAUAUUAAAGAAAAAGAUGCCAAAAAAAAAGAUCUAGGACAUCAGAUAUUGAUUACAAGAAUCUGAAAUGAUGUUAAAGGGUCAACUGCCGUUUGGGAGGAAGCAAACACCAGCCAUCAUCAGUCCUACAGCACAUCAUUGGUCGUCUAGCUGCUAACAUGUGAAAUAACAUGUGCACCACUCCAAAAGGAUCAAGGACUGGCGCCGAUUUUCACCUGGUGAGGUUUGGAGUUUUGAGCUAUAGCUGUUUGUGGACUGUUGGCGGCUUAUUGGUGACGACGGGAUGAUUAAGAAUUGAAGCGAUAGGCGCAAUCCAUCAACGUCCAGUGGCUAAUAAUUCAACGGUGCAAACUCAUGCGGAAAACCUCAUCAAUCAAGCGGAAAGCGGAUUCCAAUUAACGAACGUCCUGUUCCCCCAUCACUUUGGCGAAUUCUUCGAGGUCUUUGAAUUCAUCAUGGAACGCCGAUGGCACCAACAGAUCGAAGAAACCAUCAAAGAAGUGGCCGAGAAAAUUAUACGUAAUAAUGGCGAUCGUAGCGAAGAACAAGUGUAGCAUUCCCGUCGAAUUAUGUAAUCCUUACUUAAAUCCCCACCCCAAAUAGUUAUAAGAGUUGAGAUGAAAUAGUAGCCUAAUAAUUUAAAAUUUAGUCACAAGAUAGUACAUUAAUUACGCAAUUCGUCAAGUUUAUACAAAUUCUAUUUCAGUGCCGGAUCAGCGCUAGUGCCGCAGGGCAACAUUCCGCAGUUUAUUACAUCACUUUGUAAUCUCCGCAUUGCUCCGGAACGGAGUUGAUGAUUUACGAUCCUCUUCAUUCCAAGUGAGUUCCUUUUUUUUUAUUUUUUUUUUUAUUUAUUUUUCCUUUGCAAAUAAGUACUACCGCGGUACUUGUUGCCUCACACUCUGCAUUGUGAUCAACGACAUUGUUGGUGUUGUUCCAAGAGUCUAUUUUGGUAUACAAUACAAAGUAUACAAGCAGAACUACUAGACAUUAGCAGCACUCGAGUGUUAAAGCGCAUUCCGUUCACAACUGUGAAGUAACCAGCCCACGUCCAACGAUAAACGAACAUCAAAAACAUUUAUUAUCUUGCGCUUCAACUCUUUUUCACGCAAGUCAUCGUGAUGCGCGUUUUAAAACGACAAAGCGCCACCGAAACUUGAUUGAACUAGUAUUGAAUGUUUGAUUUGGAUUGAUUAAUAUUCAUAUCAGAAUUUCAUUCUCUGCAGCAUCAUUGAUUUAAAUUCAGAUUUAACUUUGAACUACUUUCAAAGUGCAUUUGCUUAUUAUUAAUCACGUGACGGACACGCCGACUCUCAGUUUUCUAUCAGCAUGUGCAAAUGUCAUUAAAAGGUUAACACUCGUAUGUCAAAGAAAAAAGAAACGACUGAAAUCUAAAACAUUUUGAAAAGUACGUGCCCUUUUUAAAUGCCAUAGCAAGUAAUAUAAUAUCUAAGAUAAUAUCGUCACUGUUUUACCGCUUGAACGCGAUCAGAUUCAAUCAACUCGAUGUGCAAUAAUAACGACCUAUAAUAUUUCAUGAAAAAGAAACACGGCUAUUAAUGUAUAUGAUUUAUUUAAUCCCCCACGAUCUUCAAACUAUUAUAUACAAUGGAUAUUCUUAAAAACCAGUUGAAGAAAACAAACCCACUCGAAUAUAAAGAAGGAAGAAGGGUAGAAAAGCCACUACUUAAUUUCCAUGACUAAUCGCAGCGAAAUAAUAAACAGGAG